Molecule: non-coding RNA, 69 nt
Organism: Podarcis lilfordi (Lilford's wall lizard)
Lineage: Eukaryota; Metazoa; Chordata; Lepidosauria; Squamata; Lacertidae
Source: the annotation of a GenBank genome assembly
GCUGUAGCUCAGUGGUAGAACAUCUGCCUUGCAUGCAGAAGGUCAUAAGUUCAAUCCCCGGCAUCUCCA